CUCAUGUAGGAGAAAGUUGAGCUUGCUCAGGCACUCAAUCAAUUCGAUUAUGUACAGUAUAUGUUCGGUGACUGAAGCCCCUUUUCUCAUUCAAGUGUUGAAGAUAGCAUAACUCAUCUUAUACCUUUCAACAUCGUUGGGUGUGCCAAAGGACUCAUUCAACAUUUGAAGCAUAUCCUGUGGUUGAGCAUUCUCAAAUCUGUGGUUGAACUCAUCAUUUAUUACUGCCAGCAUAAUGCAACGCACAUGAUCCAAUCACUGAGCCAUUUCUGAUAAGUGUCUCAGACCGUACUACAGGCAUUUGGAGCUGACUCCUCGGGUAUCAGAUAUGUCAGCACGUACA
This 343-nucleotide long non-coding RNA is filed under the name Elaeis guineensis (African oil palm). RNAcentral's name for it is "long non-coding RNA (EGUI_LNC050236)". Lineage: Eukaryota; Viridiplantae; Streptophyta; Magnoliopsida; Arecales; Arecaceae. The record is from RNAcentral.